UACGUAGGGUGCAGGCGUUAAUCGGAAUUACUGCGCGUAAAGCGUGCGCAGGCGGUUUCUUAAGUCAGAUGUGAAAGCCCCGGGCUUAACCUGGGAACUGCGUUUGAAACUGGGAGACUUGAGUGUGGCAGAGGGGGGUGGAAUUCCACGUGUAGCAGUGAAAUGCGUAGAUAUGUGGAGGAACACCGAUGGCGAAGGCAGCCCCCUGGGCUAACACUGACGCUCAGGCACGAAAGCGUGGGGAGCAAACAGG
This 253-nucleotide ribosomal RNA is filed under the name uncultured bacterium. Its description in RNAcentral is "partial 16S ribosomal RNA". It matches the Rfam family "Bacterial small subunit ribosomal RNA", at positions 524 to 776 of the family's 1533-position model. The record is from RNAcentral.